This 483-nucleotide ribosomal RNA is filed under the name uncultured bacterium. Its description in RNAcentral is "partial 16S ribosomal RNA". It matches the Rfam family "Bacterial small subunit ribosomal RNA", at positions 28 to 523 of the family's 1533-position model. The record is from RNAcentral.
GACGAACGCUGGCGGCGUGCUUAACACAUGCAAGUCGAACGAUGAAGCCUAGCUUGCUGGGUGGAAGAGUGGCGAACGGGUGAGUAACACGUGAGUAACCUGCCUAUCACUCUGGGAUAAGCGCUGGAAACGGCGUCUAAUACUGGAUAUGUCCCAUCACCGCAUGGUGUGUGGGUGGAAAGAUUUAUCGGUGGUAGAUGGACUCGCGGCCUAUCAGCUUGUUGGUGAGGUAAUGGCUCACCAAGGCGACGACGGGUAGCCGGCCUGAGAGGGGGACCGGCCACACUGGGACUGAGACACGGCCCAGACUCCUACGGGAGGCAGCAGUGGGGAAUAUUGCACAAUGGGCGCAAGCCUGAUGCAGCAACGCCGCGUGAGGGAUGACGGCCUUCGGGUUGUAAACCUCUUUUAGUAGGGAAGAAGCGAAAGUGACGGUACCUGCAGAAAAAGCACCGGCUAACUACGUGCCAGCAGCCGCCGUAA